CAAAUCCUGGGGUGUGCGUAACGCUUUGAUUUUAAACCCACAUUCUAGUUACGGGAGUCUGGUGUCUGCCGCUUGUGUGCACGCCUGCUACGAGCAGGAAGCCUGAGAGUUGCAGCAGGGCGCCCACCUGCCGAGAGGCGGGUAUUAGAAUACAAAGCAUACGGCACUUUGGGUUUUUU
Molecule: non-coding RNA, 179 nt
Filed under: Clostridiales bacterium
Lineage: Bacteria; Bacillati; Bacillota; Clostridia; Eubacteriales
Description: 6S RNA
Rfam family: 6S / SsrS RNA
About the family: E. coli 6S RNA was the first non coding RNA to be sequenced, but its function was unknown until recently. It consists of 184 nucleotides that fold into an extended hairpin structure with a large single-stranded internal bulge.
Source: RNAcentral